This 497-nucleotide ribosomal RNA is filed under the name uncultured bacterium. RNAcentral's name for it is "partial 16S ribosomal RNA". It matches the Rfam family "Bacterial small subunit ribosomal RNA", at positions 28 to 507 of the family's 1533-position model. The record is from RNAcentral.
GAUGAACGCUGGCGGCGUGCCUAAUACAUGCAAGUCGAGCGAACAGACGAGGAGCUUGCUCCUCUGACGUUAGCGGCGGACGGGUGAGUAACACGUGGAUAACCUACCUAUAAGACUGGGAUAACUUCGGGAAACCGGAGCUAAUACCGGAUAACAUGUUGAACCGCAUGGUUUAACAGUGAAAGACGGUCUUGCUGUCACUUAUAGAUGGAUCCGCGCCGCAUUAGCUAGUUGGUAAGGUAACGGCUUACCAAGGCAACGAUGCGUAGCCGACCUGAGAGGGUGAUCGGCCACACUGGAACUGAGACACGGUCCAGACUCCUACGGUAGGCAGCAGUAGGGAAUCUUCCGCAAUGGGCGAAAGCCUGACGGAGCAACGCCGCGUGAGUGAAGAAGGUCUUCGGAUCGUAAAACUCUGUUAUUAGGGAAGAACAAAUGUGUAAGUAACUAUGCACGUCUUGACGGUACCUAAUCAGAAAGCCACGGCUAACUACGUG